UGCCGCGUGCGGGAAGAAGGCCUUCGGGUUGUAAACCGCUUUUGUCAGGGAAGAAACGGCUUUUUCUAAUACAGAGAGCUAAUGACGGUACCUGAAGAAUAAGCACCGGCUAACUACGUGCCAGCAGCCGCGGUAAUACGUAGGGUGCAAGCGUUAAUCGGAAUUACUGGGCGUAAAGCGUGCGCAGGCGGUUAUGCAAGACAGAUGUGAAAUCCCCGGGCUCAACCUGGGAACUGCAUUUGUGACUGCAUAGCUAGAGUACGGUAGAGGGGGAUGGAAUUCCGCGUGUAGCAGUGAAAUGCGUAGAUAUGCGGAGGAACACCGAUGGCGAAGGCAAUCCCCUGGACCUGUACUGACGCUCAUGCACGAAAGCGUGGGGAGCAAACAGGAUUAGAUACCCUGGUAGUCCACGCCCUAAACGAUGUCAACUGGUUGUUGGGAGGGUUUCUUCUCAGUAACGAAGCUAACG
RNAcentral lists this ribosomal RNA (469 nucleotides) under Burkholderiales bacterium. RNAcentral describes it as "bacterial SSU rRNA". It matches the Rfam family "Bacterial small subunit ribosomal RNA", at positions 395 to 857 of the family's 1533-position model. The record is from RNAcentral. Lineage: Bacteria; Pseudomonadati; Pseudomonadota; Betaproteobacteria; Burkholderiales.